AUAUAUGACAAAUUAUGAAUAUGUAGUCAAGAUGGGGUUAAAUAUAAAAUGAUCUUGGGAUAUCAUCUUGUUUCUAAUUGUCGCUUGACCCACCUCUAUUUGAUAUUUGUGACAAGUAUUUAAUUUGUAGUAUGAAAAAUACUGAAUAUCUAGCAUCAAAAAUGGUUUAAUAGCAGAUCGUGUUCUCAUUUACUAUUAGAUCGGUUAUCAUUUGACAU
Molecule: long non-coding RNA, 218 nt
Filed under: Elaeis guineensis (African oil palm)
Lineage: Eukaryota; Viridiplantae; Streptophyta; Magnoliopsida; Arecales; Arecaceae
Description: long non-coding RNA (EGUI_LNC000189)
Source: RNAcentral